CAACACCGUUAUAGUCCACCUCAUUCUCGAUAUUUGCUAAAAUCUUGCCAACAGGAGUACUAGACUGCAAUACGAAAUUUGAUGCUGCAUCAGAGGUAUGAUUUUCACCCUCAUCACCCAAAUUUACACUCGUCUCAUCAUCAUUUCGCUUUUUGCGUCUCUUACGACAAUUAACCCCCCCACGGCCUCCUUUAUGACCAACCUUUCUUUUUUUCACCUCUAACAGAUCUUGAUCUUUUUCAACAAGGGAGUCAUCAAUGGGAAAAUCUUGGCGAAGUCCACGACUACAUUGAGACUCUAAUAUCUGUCUCGCACGAGCAGCAAGAACAUCAAUAGCAUUGUAAUCUCCAUUUACCUUGGUUAUAGCAGAUAUGCGAUUGAGUAUCUUCACCUGUAAUAAGGUAAAGAGGCAUACAUUAAUAGAUUUAAGAAUUACAACAUGCAAGAAAGUGAGAAACACAUGAUACUAAUUACAAUUACCGCAUAUGAUUGUGCAGCAGCAACUCGUGUAUGAUAUGGACGAGUGACAUUAGCAUACCAUUCAGUAUAGCGAGUAGUCACCCCAGCACCUACAUUAUUU
RNAcentral lists this long non-coding RNA (580 nucleotides) under Daucus carota (carrot). Its description in RNAcentral is "long non-coding RNA (DCAR_LNC006380)". Lineage: Eukaryota; Viridiplantae; Streptophyta; Magnoliopsida; Apiales; Apiaceae. The record is from RNAcentral.